RNAcentral lists this ribosomal RNA (254 nucleotides) under uncultured bacterium. Its description in RNAcentral is "partial 16S ribosomal RNA". It matches the Rfam family "Bacterial small subunit ribosomal RNA", at positions 524 to 776 of the family's 1533-position model. The record is from RNAcentral.
UACGAAGGGGGGCGAGCGUUGUUCGGAAUUACUGGGCGUAAAGGGCGCGCAGGCGGCUCUGAAAGUCAGAUGUGAAAGCCCCGGGCUUAACCUGGGAAUUGCAUUUGAUACUCUGGAGCUUGAGUACGGGAGAGGAGAGUGGAAUUCCCAGUGUAGAGGUGAAAUUCGUAGAUAUUGGGAAGAACACCAGUGGCGAAGGCGGCUCACUGGCCCGGUACUGACGCUGAGGUGCGAAAGCGUGGGGAGCAAACAGG